AGAAAAUAUAAUCACAUUUGUGAUCAUGCGACGAACAACUGUAUAAGUCCAAAAAAAACAAAAAAAUUAGAUAACCAUGUGACUUCAAUGUAUGUGUGCCACUUUGUAUACAGAAUCACUUUGGGGGGUGUUCGCGCGACCAAAACUCUAACAUUUUAAAAUAGUCUCACGCGGAAAAACCGUUUAUGUCCACUAACAAAAAAUGGAGACGCCGGUUGCUUUCAUGUCCGCUGCGGACAUUAAUAGACAAAACGUCGGCAAAAAAAGGAGAGCGAACAUAAAUGAAUGGAAGGACAGAGCAAGGAAGUCUUUGAGGGAUGCUGGGAAACCAUAUGUGAACCGGAGAGGAGAGCAAAAACGAGGAAAAAGUCCACCAAAAGCGGUUCAAGUCAUGAAUGGGUCGAUAUGAAAGCUGAGAAAAUUAGGAUUCAGGGGACGUUUUAAACAUGUCUCUACUCCUUAUAACAAC
Cyprinus carpio carpio is the source of this 469-nucleotide long non-coding RNA. The record is from Ensembl. NCBI's taxonomy places the organism in Eukaryota, Metazoa, Chordata, Actinopteri, Cypriniformes, Cyprinidae.